This 72-nucleotide transfer RNA is filed under the name Amanita phalloides. Its description in RNAcentral is "tRNA-His". It matches the Rfam family "tRNA". Rfam says of the family: Transfer RNA (tRNA) molecules are approximately 80 nucleotides in length. Lineage: Eukaryota; Fungi; Basidiomycota; Agaricomycetes; Agaricales; Amanitaceae. The record is from RNAcentral.
GGUAAAAUUAGUUUAAAGGUAAAAUGACGUUUUGUGGCGACGAUGUUCAGAGUUCGAUUCUCUGAUUUUACC